Molecule: ribosomal RNA, 440 nt
Filed under: uncultured bacterium
Lineage: Bacteria
Description: partial 16S ribosomal RNA
Rfam family: Bacterial small subunit ribosomal RNA
Source: RNAcentral
CCUACGGGAGGCAGCAGUGGGGAAUAUUGCACAAUGGGGGAAACCCUGAUGCAGCGACGCCGCGUGAGUGAAGAAGUAUUUCGGUACGUAAAGCUCUAUCAGCAGGGAAGAAAAUGACGGUACCUGACUAAGAAGCCCCGGCUAACUACGUGCCAGCAGCCGCGGUAAUACGUAGGGGGCAAGCGUUAUCCGGAUUUACUGGGUGUAAAGGGAGCGUAGACGGCAGCGCAAGUCUGGAGUGAACUCCCAUGGCUUAACCAUGGAACUGCUUUGGAAACUGUGCAGCUAGAGUGCAGGAGCGGUAAGCGGAAUUCCUAGUGUAGCGGUGAAAUGCGUAGAUAUUAGGAGGAACACCAGUGGCGAAGGCGGCUUACUGGACUGUAACUGACGUUGAGGCUCGAAAGCGUGGGGAGCAAACAGGAUUAGAUACCCUGGUAGUC